AUGGACAAGGUCCAGAUGGGGUGGUCUACUAUGGACAAGGUCCAGAUGGUGCUGCCGAAGAAGAGUGACAUCUUGGCGGGGGACACGCCGCAGGUGGCAGCGUCGAAGGCUGAUCUCCAGAGGUACAGGGAGAUGUACAAGAAGCCACUGCCUGGGAAAUUCAUCGCCGCGGUUGAAGCCCUGAUCGAUGCUUCUAGCUGCCAGAAAGGGGCGUGCAAGUCAGGGGGCUUAAACAACCCAGCGAAGAGAAGGGCGAUUCAGAUUUUUGCUGCUGAGCUUAAGUGCAGUGUUGUCUGUCUUCAAGAGACGGAGAUCAGUGACAUGGCUCGAAGCAUUGUGGUGGACACACUAGGGCCACGCUUCGCCGAUAACUUCAUCUCACUACUGGCUGUUGGCUCAAGGGGGGGGGGGGUAUUCUCAUUGCAUGCUCCGACGACUACGAGAUUGCGGCAGAGCGUCUGGCGGCCGGUGAAUUCUCGAUCUCUGGGACAAUUAGGAGAAGGGCUGAUAGAGUUUGCUGGUCGAUCACCGGCGUUUAUGAUUGUGGCUCAUGCAUGGGCAAAAGAGGUCAAGUCCAGAGACCCAAUCAGGGUACUGCACACCAAAAUGUCAAGGACAGCAAAGGCUCUCAGAAUUUGGAGCAAGCAGAAGAGGAGAUGGGCCGUCUUCAUGUCCGGGUUAGCUAACGAGGUCAUCUUCAGACUAGAUCUGGCUCAAGAGGAGAGGGCACUUUCCGAGGAGGAGAGACACCUGAGAGGUCUGCUCAAAGCUAAGCUGCUGGGUAUUGCGGCUGUCGGCAGGGCUAGGUGGCGGCAAAAAUCCAGAAUAACUGAGAUAAAAGAGGGGGACGCUAGUACCCGAUUUUUCCACCUAAGAGCGAGUGGCCUCCAGCGGAAGAAUCACAUCCCAGUCCUUCUGGGAAGAGAUGGGCCAGUCUCCAACCAUGUUGGGAAGGCUGACAUCCUCAGAGAUCGGUUCAAAAACCUGAUGGGCACGCCUUUGCCUUUGGGAACGCGCGUGGCCAGAUUCCGGGCGAGUUUUUAUGCCAAUGAUGCUGCGCUCUUCAUCAACCCGGGGCAAGAAGAGAUUAUUGCUGUCCAGGACAUCCUGGAAAUGUUUGGGAAUGCCUCUGGACUCAAAACAAACAUGGCAAAAUCAGUGGCGUACCCAGUUGCUUUCCAGGACAGGGAUUUGCAACAAUUGUUGGUUGAUGCUGGGAUUGUGCAAGGCUCCCUUCCCUGCCAAUACUUGGGAUUGCCCCUUUGGGAUUCGAAAACCAAAGAGAGUUGA
RNAcentral lists this ribosomal RNA (1290 nucleotides) under Triticum aestivum (bread wheat). RNAcentral describes it as "partial small subunit ribosomal RNA". The record is from RNAcentral. Lineage: Eukaryota; Viridiplantae; Streptophyta; Magnoliopsida; Poales; Poaceae.